GCAGGGGGUGAGCAGGUCUGUGCCAUCCCUGCAGCCCAGCACCAUGCUGUCCUGGGGAUCUCUCCUCUUUCUCCUCAUUGCCCUGUCAGGUGCCCAGUCCCAGGUGCAGCUGCUGGAGUCUGGAGGAGAUGCGAGGAAGCCUGGAGACUGUCUGCGCCUCUCCUGCAAAGCCUCCGGGUUCACCUUCAGCAGCUCCUACAUGAACUGGGUCCGACAGGCUCCUGAGAAGGGGCUGGAGUGGGUCGCAAGUAUAAAUGCUGCUACUGCUAACCUCACCACAUACUACAGUGCUGCGGUGAAGGGGUGAUUCACCAUCUCCAGAGACGACUCCACCAGCACACUGUACCUGCAGAUGACCAGCCUGAGAGCUGAGGACACGGCCCGGUAUCACUGUGUGAAGCC
Molecule: non-coding RNA, 402 nt
Organism: Alligator sinensis (Chinese alligator)
Lineage: Eukaryota; Metazoa; Chordata; Crocodylia; Alligatoridae
Source: the annotation of a RefSeq genome assembly